AUUGCAAAGACAUGCCGCGUGAAGGAUGACGGCCUAUGGGUUGUAACUUCUUUUCUCAGAGAAGAAUUUUUGACGGUAUCUGAGGAAUAAGCAUCGGCUAACUCUGUGCCAGCAGCCGCGGUAAGACAGAGGAUGCAAGCGUUAUCCGGAAUGAUUGGGCGUAAAGCGUCUGUAGGUGGCUUAAAAAGUCUCCUGUCAAAGAUCAGGGCUUAACCCUGGGCCGGCAGGAGAAACUCUUAGGCUAGAGUUUGGUAGGGGCAGAGGGAAUUCCCGGUGGAGCGGUGAAAUGCGUAGAGAUCGGGAGGAACACCAAAGGCGAAGGCACUCUGCUGGGCCAGAACUGACACUGAGAGACGAAAGCGAGGGGAGCAAAAGGGAUUAGAUACCCCUGUAGUCAA
This 398-nucleotide ribosomal RNA is filed under the name Chlorella variabilis. Its description in RNAcentral is "SSU rRNA". It matches the Rfam family "Bacterial small subunit ribosomal RNA", at positions 383 to 797 of the family's 1533-position model. The record is from RNAcentral. Lineage: Eukaryota; Viridiplantae; Chlorophyta; Trebouxiophyceae; Chlorellales; Chlorellaceae.